ACUUAAAUUGAAGAGUUUGAUCAUGGCUCAGAUUGAACGCUGGCGGCAGGCCUAACACAUGCAAGUCGAACGGUAGCACAGAGGAGCUUGCUCCUUGGGUGACGAGUGGCGGACGGGUGAGUAAUGUCUGGGAAAC
This 136-nucleotide ribosomal RNA is filed under the name Citrobacter freundii. Its description in RNAcentral is "partial 16S ribosomal RNA". It matches the Rfam family "Bacterial small subunit ribosomal RNA", at positions 1 to 125 of the family's 1533-position model. Lineage: Bacteria; Pseudomonadati; Pseudomonadota; Gammaproteobacteria; Enterobacterales; Enterobacteriaceae. The record is from RNAcentral.